Long non-coding RNA from Papaver somniferum (opium poppy), 922 nucleotides. RefSeq lists it as uncharacterized. The record is from RefSeq and is a predicted model, not a curated record. NCBI's taxonomy places the organism in Eukaryota, Viridiplantae, Streptophyta, Magnoliopsida, Ranunculales, Papaveraceae. The transcript has 2 exons.
CUUCUUUUCUUUUUCUUUUGGUUUCUUAGACGAAUUAUAAAUUCUUUGUUCUAAUAAAGGCCCUCUGCGACGGAUUUAUGUUUCCGACACCAAACCCUAGGAAUGGAUCAGUCUUUCUUCCUGAAGGCGGAUUUAUGUUUCCGACACCAGCAACAUUGAACAGGUUUAAGGUUUUUCUUGCUCGGAAUGGUAAAGCUAUUUCAACUCAAAGACAAAACAAUAUAGGUUCUGAAUCAAGACAAUGAAGGAUGGAUGUCAACCCCCUCUUCAAAGAGAAUGACGAAUCGGUGUUUGAGAUCAACGUCAAGGCUAUCAAGACUUUAGUUGAUGCUGCCGGUGAAGUUGAUUCUGUAAGGAGGGACCAAGUGAGUGCUGCGGAGAAGGUAGCUGAGUCUCUGCUGAUGUUGAGGGAAAUUCCUGUUCCGGGUUUGAACGAAGAAGGGAGGGAUGCCAUGUAUAGAACUGUUGAGAUCUUGGCGGUAGCAGUAGAGGAAAACAAAAAGGUCACAUGAAGGAUGGUUAACCUUACAAAUGUUUUGUUGCAAGUUUAAUUUGGCAGUUUGAAACUUACUGUGUGGGAGGGAGGGUCUUUGUUUUGCUGAAAUCAGUACCAUUGAGAGAGUUAAGGUCAUUUAGAGUAUGUUGAUAAGUGAGGGGAAUUUAGAGUUUCAGAUGUGUGAAUUGAAAUCAGUAAAGUAUAAUUUGGGAGUUAAAAACUUACUGUGUGGGAGGGUUUUUUUGUUUUGUUGAAAUCAAUACUAUUGAGAGAGUUGAGGGAAUGUUGAUAAGUGAGGGGAAUUUAGAGUUUCAGGUGUCUGAAGCGUAAUAGUAUUUUCUGGUCAGUGUGGUUUGUUAAAACCAUUGUAAUGAAAUGGAUCUAAUAGUAUUUUCUGGUAAUUUUUAACCUUCUUGAUUACUACUA